This 827-nucleotide ribosomal RNA is filed under the name Escherichia coli. RNAcentral describes it as "partial 23S ribosomal RNA". It matches the Rfam family "Bacterial large subunit ribosomal RNA", at positions 1 to 872 of the family's 2925-position model. Lineage: Bacteria; Pseudomonadati; Pseudomonadota; Gammaproteobacteria; Enterobacterales; Enterobacteriaceae. The record is from RNAcentral.
GUUAAGCGACUAAGCGUACACGGUGGAUGCCCUGGCAGUCAGAGGCGAUGAAGGACGUGCUAAUCUGCGAUAAGCGUCGGUGAGGUGAUAUGAACCGUUAUAACCGGCGAUUUCCGAAUGGGGAAACCCAGUGUGUUUCGACACACUAUCAUUAACUGAAUCCAUAGGUUAAUGAGGCGAACCGGGGGAACUGAAACAUCUAAGUACCCCGAGGAAAAGAAAUCAACCGAGAUUCCCCCAGUAGCGGCGAGCGAACGGGGAGGAGCCCAGAGCCUGAAUCAGUGUGUGUGUUAGUGGAAGCGUCUGGAAAGGCGUGCGAUACAGGGUGACAGCCCCGUACACAAAAAUGCACAUAUUGUGAGCUCGAUGAGUAGGGCGGGACACGUGGUAUCCUGUCUGAAUAUGGGGGGACCAUCCUCCAAGGCUAAAUACUCCUGACUGACCGAUAGUGAACCAGUACCGUGAGGGAAAGGCGAAAAGAACCCCGGCGAGGGGAGUGAAAAAGAACCUGAAACCGUGUACGUACAAGCAGUGGGAGCCUCUUAAUGGGGUGACUGCGUACCUUUUGUAUAAUGGGUCAGCGACUUAUAUUCUGUAGCAAGGUUAACCGAAUAGGGGAGCCGAAGGGAAACCGAGUCUUAACUGGGCGUUAAGUUGCAGGGUAUAGACCCGAAACCCGGUGAUCUAGCCAUGGGCAGGUUGAAGGUUGGGUAACACUAACUGGAGGACCGAACCGACUAAUGUUGAAAAAUUAGCGGAUGACUUGUGGCUGGGGGUGAAAGGCCAAUCAAACCGGGAGAUAGCUGGUUCUCCCCGAAAGCUAUUUA